Molecule: ribosomal RNA, 119 nt
Filed under: Pteropus alecto (black flying fox)
Lineage: Eukaryota; Metazoa; Chordata; Mammalia; Chiroptera; Pteropodidae
Source: RNAcentral
GUCUACGGCCAUGCCACCCUGAACAAGCCCAAUCCCGUCUGAUCUCGGAAGCUAAGCAGGGUCGGACCUGGUUAGUACUUAGAUGGGAAACCACCUAGGAAGACCAGGUGCUGUAGGCA